Molecule: ribosomal RNA, 2387 nt
Filed under: Staphylococcus aureus
Lineage: Bacteria; Bacillati; Bacillota; Bacilli; Caryophanales; Staphylococcaceae
Description: partial 23S ribosomal RNA
Rfam family: Bacterial large subunit ribosomal RNA
Source: RNAcentral
AGGGGAGUGAAAUAGAACCUGAAACCGUGUGCUUACAAGUAGUCAGAGCCCGUUAAUGGGUGAUGGCGUGCCUUUUGUAGAAUGAACCGGCGAGUUACGAUUUGAUGCAAGGUUAAGCAGUAAAUGUGGAGCCGUAGCGAAAGCGAGUCUGAAUAGGGCGUUUAGUAUUUGGUCGUAGACCCGAAACCAGGUGAUCUACCCUUGGUCAGGUUGAAGUUCAGGUAACACUGAAUGGAGGACCGAACCGACUUACGUUGAAAAGUGAGCGGAUGAACUGAGGGUAGCGGAGAAAUUCCAAUCGAACCUGGAGAUAGCUGGUUCUCUCCGAAAUAGCUUUAGGGCUAGCCUCAAGUGAUGAUUAUUGGAGGUAGAGCACUGUUUGGACGAGGGGCCCCUCUCGGGUUACCGAAUUCAGACAAACUCCGAAUGCCAAUUAAUUUAACUUGGGAGUCAGAACAUGGGUGAUAAGGUCCGUGUUCGAAAGGGAAACAGCCCAGACCACCAGCUAAGGUCCCAAAAUAUAUGUUAAGUGGAAAAGGAUGUGGCGUUGCCCAGACAACUAGGAUGUUGGCUUAGAAGCAGCCAUCAUUUAAAGAGUGCGUAAUAGCUCACUAGUCGAGUGACACUGCGCCGAAAAUGUACCGGGGCUAAACAUAUUACCGAAGCUGUGGAUUGUCCUUUGGACAAUGGUAGGAGAGCGUUCUAAGGGCGUUGAAGCAUGAUCGUAAGGACAUGUGGAGCGCUUAGAAGUGAGAAUGCCGGUGUGAGUAGCGAAAGACGGGUGAGAAUCCCGUCCACCGAUUGACUAAGGUUUCCAGAGGAAGGCUCGUCCGCUCUGGGUUAGUCGGGUCCUAAGCUGAGGCCGACAGGCGUAGGCGAUGGAUAACAGGUUGAUAUUCCUGUACCACCUAUAAUCGUUUUAAUCGAUGGGGGGACGCAGUAGGAUAGGCGAAGCGUGCGAUUGGAUUGCACGUCUAAGCAGUAAGGCUGAGUAUUAGGCAAAUCCGGUACUCAUUAAGGCUGAGCUGUGAUGGGGAGAAGACAUUGUGUCUUCGAGUCGUUGAUUUCACACUGCCGAGAAAAGCCUCUAGAUAGAAAAUAGGUGCCCGUACCGCAAACCGACACAGGUAGUCAAGAUGAGAAUUCUAAGGUGAGCGAGCGAACUCUCGUUAAGGAACUCGGCAAAAUGACCCCGUAACUUCGGGAGAAGGGGUGCUCUUUAGGGUUAACGCCCAGAAGAGCCGCAGUGAAUAGGCCCAAGCGACUGUUUAUCAAAAACACAGGUCUCUGCUAAACCGUAAGGUGAUGUAUAGGGGCUGACGCCUGCCCGGUGCUGGAAGGUUAAGAGGAGUGGUUAGCUUCUGCGAAGCUACGAAUCGAAGCCCCAGUAAACGGCGGCCGUAACUAUAACGGUCCUAAGGUAGCGAAAUUCCUUGUCGGGUAAGUUCCGACCCGCACGAAAGGCGUAACGAUUUGGGCACUGUCUCAACGAGAGACUCGGUGAAAUCAUAGUACCUGUGAAGAUGCAGGUUACCCGCGACAGGACGGAAAGACCCCGUGGAGCUUUACUGUAGCCUGAUAUUGAAAUUCGGCACAGCUUGUACAGGAUAGGUAGGAGCCUUUGAAACGUGAGCGCUAGCUUACGUGGAGGCGCUGGUGGGAUACUACCCUAGCUGUGUUGGCUUUCUAACCCGCACCACUUAUCGUGGUGGGAGACAGUGUCAGGCGGGCAGUUUGACUGGGGCGGUCGCCUCCUAAAAGGUAACGGAGGCGCUCAAAGGUUCCCUCAGAAUGGUUGGAAAUCAUUCAUAGAGUGUAAAGGCAUAAGGGAGCUUGACUGCGAGACCUACAAGUCGAGCAGGGUCGAAAGACGGACUUAGUGAUCCGGUGGUUCCGCAUGGAAGGGCCAUCGCUCAACGGAUAAAAGCUACCCCGGGGAUAACAGGCUUAUCUCCCCCAAGAGUUCACAUCGACGGGGAGGUUUGGCACCUCGAUGUCGGCUCAUCGCAUCCUGGGGCUGUAGUCGGUCCCAAGGGUUGGGCUGUUCGCCCAUUAAAGCGGUACGCGAGCUGGGUUCAGAACGUCGUGAGACAGUUCGGUCCCUAUCCGUCGUGGGCGUAGGAAAUUUGAGAGGAGCUGUCCUUAGUACGAGAGGACCGGGAUGGACAUACCUCUGGUGUACCAGUUGUCGUGCCAACGGCAUAGCUGGGUAGCUAUGUGUGGACGGGAUAAGUGCUGAAAGCAUCUAAGCAUGAAGCCCCCCUCAAGAUGAGAUUUCCCAACUUCGGUUAUAAGAUCCCUCAAAGAUGAUGAGGUUAAUAGGUUCGAGGUGGAAGCAUGGUGACAUGUGGAGCUGACGAAUACUAAUCGAUCGAAGACUUAAUCAA